Molecule: long non-coding RNA, 954 nt
Filed under: Zonotrichia albicollis (white-throated sparrow)
Lineage: Eukaryota; Metazoa; Chordata; Aves; Passeriformes; Passerellidae
Description: lncRNA (ENSZALG00000000153.1)
Source: RNAcentral
GUUUUUCAGUAUUCUCACAAAUGGAACACAAAUUUUGGAGAGAAUCCCAAAUGGCAGGUGCUGACACUAAGUAGAGACAGGAACAGCCUUCUUGUUAACAUAUUAUCUACUCCUCACCUACCUCUGCUCUGUUACAAAGCUCAUUGACAAUGAAAGCUAAAUGAACUAACUGAAAAGUAAUUCAGUACUGUUACAAGUAUUUCAGAUAGCUUUCUGCAGCUUGGGAGCAAACAAGCAGAGAAAUCUUCUCUAUGCCUAGCCCUGUUGGAUAAUAUUCAAGCUGCUAUAUUUUCUUUUCAGAGCAAAUUUAAGCAUUCUUUGCAAAAGGUGGUGUCCUGGAGUGCUGAACUGGGGAAACAGAAAGACAGAUGGAGGAAAUCAAAUGAAUCAGUAAAAAGGACCUGAAUGUCAAAUAGGCUGUGUCCUGCACUUUGGAAUAUUGCCUCCCUGCAGAGCACUGUGGAGGAAGGCACAUGGAGCUCCAUGUAGAAGCACGUUCGGGACACAGCAGCAGAAAUUUGAAAUAAAUGGACCACUAGAGGGCAUCUGCUCGUUCUCACAGCUGGAAUGGAAUCUUGUUCACCCCUGCAGAAUGUCAGCCCAGUAUUUACAGUUAAAGGUCAGGACUCCACUAUACCAGCAGACUGGCAGAUUCCCAACAGAAAGAACUCCCCACCUGGAGAACCUGCGAUCUGAAAGUCAGACAAGAAUCUCUGAACUGAGACACAGGUCUGUACAACAGCCAGAAACAAUGGGGUGCUUCUGCUUGGUGCUCCCUCAACAGACCUAAUGAAGAAGUAUAGAUUGGGAAUCUUAUUGUUGCUUUUUGAUGUAGUUUUGUGGAAAUGCAUCUCAGCAAAGCCCGGAGUUAAGAAUGAUAAGGGUGAGUGAAGGGAAUUAAUUAACCUGGUCGCACUUGUGUGGGAUGCAAGGGUGGAAUCUCAGUGAUGAAAA